CAGCCGCCGCGGUAAUACGUAGGUGGCAAGCGUUGUCCGGAAUUAUUGGGCGUAAAGCGCGCGCAGGUGGUUUAAUAAGUCUGAUGUGAAAGCCCACGGCUCAACCGUGGAGGGUCAUUGGAAACCGUUAAACUUGAGUGCAGGAGAGAAAAGUGGAAUUCCUAGUGUAGCGGUGAAAUGCGUAGAGAUUAGGAGGAACACCAGUGGCGAAGGCGGCUUUUUGGCCUGUAACUGACACUGAGGCGCGAAAGCGUGGGGAGCAAACAGGAUUAGAUACCCCUGUAGUCCCUGUCUCUUAUAC
RNAcentral lists this ribosomal RNA (301 nucleotides) under uncultured bacterium. RNAcentral's name for it is "partial 16S ribosomal RNA". It matches the Rfam family "Bacterial small subunit ribosomal RNA", at positions 509 to 807 of the family's 1533-position model. The record is from RNAcentral.